RNAcentral lists this ribosomal RNA (547 nucleotides) under uncultured bacterium. Its description in RNAcentral is "partial 16S ribosomal RNA". It matches the Rfam family "Bacterial small subunit ribosomal RNA", at positions 355 to 895 of the family's 1533-position model. The record is from RNAcentral.
UGGGGAAUUUUGGACAAUGGGGGAAACCCUGAUCCAGCCAUCCCGCGUGUGCGAUGAAGGCCUUCGGGUUGUAAAGCACUUUUGGCAGGAAAGAAACGUCGCGGGUUAAUACCCCGCGAAACUGACGGUACCUGCAGAAUAAGCACCGGCUAACUACGUGCCAGCAGCCGCGGUAAUACGUAGGGUGCAAGCGUUAAUCGGAAUUACUGGGCGUAAAGCGUGCGCAGGCGGUUCGGAAAGAAAGAUGUGAAAUCCCAGAGCUUAACUUUGGAACUGCAUUUUUAACUACCGGGCUGGAGUGUGUCAGAGGGAGGUGGAAUUCCGCGUGUAGCAGUGAAAUGCGUAGAUAUGCGGAGGAACACCGAUGGCGAAGGCAGCCUCCUGGGAUAACACUGACGCUCAUGCACGAAAGCGUGGGGAGCAAACAGGAUUAGAUACCCUGGUAGUCCACGCCCUAAACGAUGUCAACUAGCUGUUGGGGCCUUCGGGCCUUGGUAGCGCAGCUAACGCGUGAAGUUGACCGCCUGGGGAGUACGGUCGCAAGAUU